This 369-nucleotide ribosomal RNA is filed under the name Bacillus subtilis. RNAcentral describes it as "bacterial SSU rRNA". It matches the Rfam family "Bacterial small subunit ribosomal RNA", at positions 555 to 922 of the family's 1533-position model. The record is from RNAcentral. Lineage: Bacteria; Bacillati; Bacillota; Bacilli; Caryophanales; Bacillaceae.
UGGGCGUAGAGGGCGCGCGGGCGGUUUCUUAAGUCUGAUGUGAAAGCCCCCCCCUCAGGCGGGGAGGGUCAUUGGAAACUGGGGAACUUGAGUGCAUAAGAGGAGAGUGGAAUUCCACGUGUAGCGGUGAAAUGCGUAGAGAUGUGGAGGAACACCAGUGGCGAAUGCUACUCUCUGGUCUGUAACUGACGCUGAGGAGCGAAAGCGUGGGGAGCGAACAAGAUUAGAUACCCUGGUAGUCCACGCCGUAGACGAUGAGUGCUAAGUGUUAGGGGGUUUCCGCCCCUUAGUGCUGCAGCUAACGCAUUAAGCACUCCGCCUGGGGAGUACGGUCGCAAGACUGAAACUCAGAGGAAUUGACGGGGGCCC